RNAcentral lists this long non-coding RNA (300 nucleotides) under Lathyrus oleraceus (garden pea). RNAcentral describes it as "Pisum sativum (pea) long non-coding RNA (PSAT_LNC022546)". The record is from RNAcentral. Lineage: Eukaryota; Viridiplantae; Streptophyta; Magnoliopsida; Fabales; Fabaceae.
GGUAGCGAGGAGGAUUCUGAGCCCUUAGAGGGUUAAGUUAUUGUAUUUUUCAGUUUUUAUGUUUAUUUCUAUUUGUAUUUUCGGAUUAUGUAUUUUGACUUUGGUUUUGUACUCUUGGGGUGUUUUGUCCCCCAUGAACAAAUUUAUAUUUUUAGUUAAUGUUAUUUAUUUAUGUUUUUAAUUUUGUUUGUUUAAUAAAUUUUUGGUUGAUUGAGUGGCAAACCUUCUAGAUUGGUUGCUCCUCAAAGAAGUACCCAAUGAAGGUGCAUCCGAGCUUGGAUGGCAAUGAUAAGAAUAAAC